RNAcentral lists this unclassified non-coding RNA (306 nucleotides) under uncultured fungus. RNAcentral's name for it is "sequence contains ITS2". The record is from RNAcentral. Lineage: Eukaryota; Fungi.
AACGCACCUUGCGCUCCCUGGUAUUCCGGGGAGCACGCCUGUUCGAGUGUCAUGAAGCUCUCAAGCAGUAUACUUUAUUGUUAUACUUGUUUGGAUUUGAACUCUGCCGUGUUACAGCGGCUGGUUCUAAAUGUAUUAGCUGGUCCUUGAUUUUCUUGGUUCUACUCGGCGUGAUAAUUAUCUAACGUUGAGGACAUCUCUUAAUUGAGGUGGCCAGGGUUUUCUAUGGAUUGCUUCUAAUCGUCUUCACCGACAAUAUUUUCAAUAUCUGACCUCGAAUCAGGUGGGACUACCCGCUGAACUUAA